Molecule: non-coding RNA, 336 nt
Organism: Dermatophagoides farinae (American house dust mite)
Lineage: Eukaryota; Metazoa; Arthropoda; Arachnida; Sarcoptiformes; Pyroglyphidae
Source: RefSeq, a predicted model, not a curated record
CAUGAUGAUGAUGAUGAUGAUGGUUGUACUGAAUCUGAACAAACAAAAGAAGACUGUGUGUGCAAUAAUCGUGAAAAUUUUUUUUUCCAAUGCCAAUAUUAUGCAAUUACGUUGCUGAUUGCUGAUGAUUCAAAACAGCCAACACCAUUGCAAACAUAUAUAGAUUCGUGUGUGUGUGUUUGUUUGAAAUCAAAUUUCCUUUAUCCUGUUCUGGUUGAUAAUAUUGCAAAUUGUGGAAAUUGUACCAGAUAAGAAUUGAGCAGAUUAGAAAAAAAACGAUAUAAACAUCAAGUAUAAAUAUGGGCUGUUAAUCCAACCAUCCAUUCAGUAUCAAUC